RNAcentral lists this ribosomal RNA (293 nucleotides) under uncultured Acaulosporaceae. Its description in RNAcentral is "partial small subunit ribosomal RNA". It matches the Rfam family "Eukaryotic small subunit ribosomal RNA", at positions 569 to 864 of the family's 1831-position model. Lineage: Eukaryota; Fungi; Glomeromycota; Glomeromycetes; Diversisporales; Acaulosporaceae. The record is from RNAcentral.
CGCAGCCGCGGUAAUUCCAGCUCCAAUAGCGUAUAUUAAAGUUGUUGCAGUUAAAAAGCUCGUAGUUGAAUUUCGGAAUCUGUCCGUCGGUCGGGCUUUAUUGUCCGUACUGGCGUGGUGGGUUCUUACCUUCUGAAUAACUAGCAUGCCAUUUACUUGGUGCGCUGGGGAAGCAGGACUAUUACCUUGAAAAAAUUAGAGUGCUCAAAGCAGGCUAGUGCCUGAAUACAUUAGCAUGGAAUAAUAAAAUAGGACGGCAUGGUUCUAUUUUGUUGGUUUCUAGGAUCACCGUA